Molecule: long non-coding RNA, 370 nt
Organism: Telopea speciosissima
Lineage: Eukaryota; Viridiplantae; Streptophyta; Magnoliopsida; Proteales; Proteaceae
Exons: 3
Source: RefSeq, a predicted model, not a curated record
UCAAACAAGAAAAGGGUUCGAGCAAUGUCUGCUACGGUUCUCAAUGAUUCAAUGGCAAAGUCCACUUCAGAAUCUCAAUCAACUACUAUUAAGAUCAGUACCGCAUAGGUGGAAGUUGAGUUCUCCAAAUGCAAAUGCUACGGAUUGACAGAGGAAUGCACACCCGAUUACAUAUCUAGAUUUUGUGAGAGGUACCAAGGACGAUGGAUUUAUGGUUUGUGUGCCGAAGUUGUGAAGGACGAGAUUUUCAUAUCAGAUAGGCUCAUCAACUCCUAAGAAGCCUUGAAUCGACACAUGAAUUUCUGCAAGAAGUUCAUAUAUUCGAGCCCUCCGACUAAUCCCACCAAGCAUCUGAUUUCCACAAUGAAGC